UACAGGGGGGGCAAGCGUUGUUCGGAAUUACCGGGCGUAAAGGGCCAGUAGGCGGCCAACUAAGUCACACGUGAAAUCCCCGGGCUUAACCCGGGAACUGCGUGUGAUACUGGAUGGCUUGAAUUCGGGAGAGGGAUGCGGAAUUCCAGGUGUAGCGGUGAAAUGCGUAGAUAUCUGGAGGAAUACCGGUGGCGAAGGCGGCAUCCUGGACCGACAUUGACGCUGAACGGCGAAAGCUAGGGGAGCAAACGGG
Molecule: ribosomal RNA, 253 nt
Filed under: uncultured bacterium
Lineage: Bacteria
Description: partial 16S ribosomal RNA
Rfam family: Bacterial small subunit ribosomal RNA
Source: RNAcentral